GUGUUCAUUUCAGCAGCACAUACACUAAAAUUGGAAAAGUACAGAGAAGAUUAGCAUGUCCCCUGUGCAAGGAUGACACGUAAAUUAGUGAAACAUUCCAUAUUUUU
Small nuclear RNA from Pteronotus mesoamericanus, 107 nucleotides. The record is from RefSeq and is a predicted model, not a curated record. Lineage: Eukaryota; Metazoa; Chordata; Mammalia; Chiroptera; Mormoopidae.